ACGGGUGAGUAACGCGUAAGCAACCUGCCCUUCAGAUGGGGACAACAGCUGGAAACGGCUGCUAAUACCGAAUACGUUCUUUUUGUCGCAUGGCAGAGGGAAGAAAGGGAGGCUCUUCGGAGCUUUCGCUGAAGGAGGGGCUUGCGUCUGAUUAGCUAGUUGGAGGGCUAACGGCCCACCAAGGCGACGAUCAGUAGCCGGUCUGAGAGGAUGAACGGCCACAUUGGGACUGAGACACGGCCCAGACUCCUACGGGAGGCAGCAGUGGGGAAUCUUCCGCAAUGGACGAAAGUCUGACAGAGCAACGCCGCGUGAACGAUGACGGCCUUCGGGUUGUAAAGUUCUGUUAUACGGGACGAAUGGUACGACGGUCAAUACCCGUCGUAGUGACGGUACUGUAAGAGAAAGCCACGGCUAACUACGUGCCAGCAGCCGCGGUAAUACGUAGGUGGCAAGCGUUGUCCGGAAUUAUUGGGCGUAAAGGGCGCGCAGGCGGCGUCGUAAGUCGGUCUUAAAAGUGCGGGGC
RNAcentral lists this ribosomal RNA (526 nucleotides) under Megasphaera elsdenii. Its description in RNAcentral is "bacterial SSU rRNA". It matches the Rfam family "Bacterial small subunit ribosomal RNA", at positions 102 to 608 of the family's 1533-position model. The record is from RNAcentral. Lineage: Bacteria; Bacillati; Bacillota; Negativicutes; Veillonellales; Veillonellaceae.